Molecule: ribosomal RNA, 253 nt
Filed under: uncultured Prevotella sp.
Lineage: Bacteria; Pseudomonadati; Bacteroidota; Bacteroidia; Bacteroidales; Prevotellaceae
Description: partial 16S ribosomal RNA
Rfam family: Bacterial small subunit ribosomal RNA
Source: RNAcentral
UACGUAGGGGGCAAGCGUUAUCCGGAUUUACUGGGUGUAAAGGGAGCGUAGGCCGGUCUUUAAGCGUGCCGUGAAAUUUUGUGGCUCAACCAUGAGAGUGCGGCGCGAACUGGAGACCUUGAGUGCGCGGAAGGCAGGCGGAAUUCGUGGUGUAGCGGUGAAAUGCUUAGAUAUCACGAAGAACUCCGAUUGCGAAGGCAGCUCACUAGACUGCAACUGACACUGAUACUCGAAAGUGUGGGUAUCAAACAGG